CAGUCGCCACGGUAAUACGAAGGGGGCUAGCGUUGUUCGGAAUUACUGGGCGUAAAGCGCACGUAGGCGGAUAUUUAAGUCAGGGGUGAAAUCCCAGAGCUCAACUCUGGAACUGCCUUUGAUACUGGGUAUCUUGAGUAUGGAAGAGGUGAGUGGAAUUCCGAGUGUAGAGGUGAAAUUCGUAGAUAUUCGGAGGAACACCAGUGGCGAAGGCGGCUCACUGGUCCAUUACUGACGCUGAGGUGCGAAAGCGUGGGGAGCAAACAGGAUUAGAUACCCGCGUAGUCCCUGUCUCUUAUAA
RNAcentral lists this ribosomal RNA (301 nucleotides) under uncultured bacterium. Its description in RNAcentral is "partial 16S ribosomal RNA". It matches the Rfam family "Bacterial small subunit ribosomal RNA", at positions 509 to 809 of the family's 1533-position model. The record is from RNAcentral.